UAGUCCACGCCGUAAACGAUGAGAACUAGCCGUUGGGCCUAUUAAAAGGUUUAGUGGCGAAGCUAACGCGAUAAGUUCUCCGCCUGGGGAGUACGGCCGCAAGGUUAAAACUCAAAUGAAUUGACGGGGGCCCGCACAAGCGGUGGAGCAUGUGGUUUAAUUCGAUGCAACGCGAAGAACCUUACCACCCCUUGACAUCCUCAGAAUUUGUCAGAGAUGACUUAGUGCCUUCGGGAACUGAGAGACAGGCGCUGCAUGGCUGUCGUCAGCUCGUGUUGUGAAAUGUUGGGUUAAGUCCCGUAACGAGCGCAACCCUUAUCCCUAGUUGCUAGCGGUUCGGCCGAGAACUCUAGGGAGACUGCCGGUGACAAACCGGAGGAAGGUGGGGACGACGUCAAGUCAGCAUGCCCCUUACGCUCUGGGCUACACACGUGCUACAAUGGUCGUGACAAAGAGUUGCUAGUCUGCGAAGGCAAGCCAAUCUCAUAAACGCGGCCUUAGUUCGGAUUGC
This 511-nucleotide ribosomal RNA is filed under the name uncultured bacterium. RNAcentral's name for it is "bacterial SSU rRNA". It matches the Rfam family "Bacterial small subunit ribosomal RNA", at positions 791 to 1301 of the family's 1533-position model. The record is from RNAcentral.